Molecule: ribosomal RNA, 530 nt
Filed under: uncultured bacterium
Lineage: Bacteria
Description: bacterial SSU rRNA
Rfam family: Bacterial small subunit ribosomal RNA
Source: RNAcentral
ACGGCGCACGGGUGCGUAACACGUGGCAAUCUGCCCUCUGAUGGGGAAUAACCCCGCGAAAGCGGGGCUAAUUCCGCAUAAAAUUCCGAGAACCUCGGUUUUUGGAUUCAAAGCAGCAAUGCGUCAGAGGAGGAGCCCGCGCCCGAUUAGCUAGUUGGUGAGGUAACGGCUCACCAAGGCAAUGAUCGGUAGCUGGUCUGAGAGGAUGAUCAGCCACACUGGAACUGAGACACGGUCCAGACUCCUACGGGAGGCAGCAGUGGGGAAUCUUGCACAAUGGGCGAAAGCCUGAUGCAGCGACGCCGCGUGGGGGAUGAAGCUUUUCGGAGUGUAAACCCCUUUCGACUGGGACGAUAACCCGCAAGGGAUUGACGGUACCAGUAUAAGAAGCCCCGGCUAACUACGUGCCAGCAGCCGCGGUAAGACGUAGGGGGCCAGCGUUGUUCGGAAUUACUGGGUGUAAAGGGUUCGUAGGCGGUGCGGCAAGUUGGGAGUGAAAUCUCUGGGCUUAACCCAGAGGCUGCUUCCAA